CUGCAUGAAGCUGGAAUCGCUAGUAAUCGCGGAUCAGAAUGCCGCGGUGAAUACGUUCCCGGGUCUUGUACACACCGCCCGUCACACCAUGGGAGUCGGGAAUGCCCGAAGUCAGUGACCCCAACCGAAAGGGGGGAGCUGCCGAAGGCAGGCCUGGUAACUGGGGUGAAGUCGUAACAAGGUAGC
This 186-nucleotide ribosomal RNA is filed under the name uncultured bacterium. RNAcentral describes it as "partial 16S ribosomal RNA". It matches the Rfam family "Bacterial small subunit ribosomal RNA", at positions 1316 to 1500 of the family's 1533-position model. The record is from RNAcentral.